This 2652-nucleotide ribosomal RNA is filed under the name Escherichia coli. Its description in RNAcentral is "partial 23S ribosomal RNA". It matches the Rfam family "Bacterial large subunit ribosomal RNA", at positions 296 to 2925 of the family's 2925-position model. The record is from RNAcentral. Lineage: Bacteria; Pseudomonadati; Pseudomonadota; Gammaproteobacteria; Enterobacterales; Enterobacteriaceae.
AGCCCAGAGCCUGAAUCAGUGUGUGUGUUAGUGGAAGCGUCUGGAAAGGCGCGCGAUACAGGGUGACAGCCCCGUACACAAAAAUGCACAUGCUGUGAGCUCGAUGAGUAGGGCGGGACACGUGGUAUCCUGUCUGAAUAUGGGGGGACCAUCCUCCAAGGCUAAAUACUCCUGACUGACCGAUAGUGAACCAGUACCGUGAGGGAAAGGCGAAAAGAACCCCGGCGAGGGGAGUGAAAAAGAACCUGAAACCGUGUACGUACAAGCAGUGGGAGCACGCUUAGGCGUGUGACUGCGUACCUUUUGUAUAAUGGGUCAGCGACUUAUAUUCUGUAGCAAGGUUAACCGAAUAGGGGAGCCGAAGGGAAACCGAGUCUUAACUGGGCGUUAAGUUGCAGGGUAUAGACCCGAAACCCGGUGAUCUAGCCAUGGGCAGGUUGAAGGUUGGGUAACACUAACUGGAGGACCGAACCGACUAAUGUUGAAAAAUUAGCGGAUGACUUGUGGCUGGGGGUGAAAGGCCAAUCAAACCGGGAGAUAGCUGGUUCUCCCCGAAAGCUAUUUAGGUAGCGCCUCGUGAAUUCAUCUCCGGGGGUAGAGCACUGUUUCGGCAAGGGGGUCAUCCCGACUUACCAACCCGAUGCAAACUGCGAAUACCGGAGAAUGUUAUCACGGGAGACACACGGCGGGUGCUAACGUCCGUCGUGAAGAGGGAAACAACCCAGACCGCCAGCUAAGGUCCCAAAGUCAUGGUUAAGUGGGAAACGAUGUGGGAAGGCCCAGACAGCCAGGAUGUUGGCUUAGAAGCAGCCAUCAUUUAAAGAAAGCGUAAUAGCUCACUGGUCGAGUCGGCCUGCGCGGAAGAUGUAACGGGGCUAAACCAUGCACCGAAGCUGCGGCAGCGACGCUUAUGCGUUGUUGGGUAGGGGAGCGUUCUGUAAGCCUGCGAAGGUGUGCUGUGAGGCAUGCUGGAGGUAUCAGAAGUGCGAAUGCUGACAUAAGUAACGAUAAAGCGGGUGAAAAGCCCGCUCGCCGGAAGACCAAGGGUUCCUGUCCAACGUUAAUCGGGGCAGGGUGAGUCGACCCCUAAGGCGAGGCCGAAAGGCGUAGUCGAUGGGAAACAGGUUAAUAUUCCUGUACUUGGUGUUACUGCGAAGGGGGGACGGAGAAGGCUAUGUUGGCCGGGCGACGGUUGUCCCGGUUUAAGCGUGUAGGCUGGUUUUCCAGGCAAAUCCGGAAAAUCAAGGCUGAGGCGUGAUGACGAGGCACUACGGUGCUGAAGCAACAAAUGCCCUGCUUCCAGGAAAAGCCUCUAAGCAUCAGGUAACAUCAAAUCGUACCCCAAACCGACACAGGUGGUCAGGUAGAGAAUACCAAGGCGCUUGAGAGAACUCGGGUGAAGGAACUAGGCAAAAUGGUGCCGUAACUUCGGGAGAAGGCACGCUGAUAUGUAGGUGAAGUCCCUCGCGGAUGGAGCUGAAAUCAGUCGAAGAUACCAGCUGGCUGCAACUGUUUAUUAAAAACACAGCACUGUGCAAACACGAAAGUGGACGUAUACGGUGUGACGCCUGCCCGGUGCCGGAAGGUUAAUUGAUGGGGUUAGCGCAAGCGAAGCUCUUGAUCGAAGCCCCGGUAAACGGCGGCCGUAACUAUAACGGUCCUAAGGUAGCGAAAUUCCUUGUCGGGUAAGUUCCGACCUGCACGAAUGGCGUAAUGAUGGCCAGGCUGUCUCCACCCGAGACUCAGUGAAAUUGAACUCGCUGUGAAGAUGCAGUGUACCCGCGGCAAGACGGAAAGACCCCGUGAACCUUUACUAUAGCUUGACACUGAACAUUGAGCCUUGAUGUGUAGGAUAGGUGGGAGGCUUUGAAGUGUGGACGCCAGUCUGCAUGGAGCCGACCUUGAAAUACCACCCUUUAAUGUUUGAUGUUCUAACGUGGACCCGUAAUCCGGGUUGCGGACAGUGUCUGGUGGGUAGUUUGACUGGGGCGGUCUCCUCCUAAAGAGUAACGGAGGAGCACGAAGGUUGGCUAAUCCUGGUCGGACAUCAGGAGGUUAGUGCAAUGGCAUAAGCCAGCUUGACUGCGAGCGUGACGGCGCGAGCAGGUGCGAAAGCAGGUCAUAGUGAUCCGGUGGUUCUGAAUGGAAGGGCCAUCGCUCAACGGAUAAAAGGUACUCCGGGGAUAACAGGCUGAUACCGCCCAAGAGUUCAUAUCGACGGCGGUGUUUGGCACCUCGAUGUCGGCUCAUCACAUCCUGGGGCUGAAGUAGGUCCCAAGGGUAUGGCUGUUCGCCAUUUAAAGUGGUACGCGAGCUGGGUUUAGAACGUCGUGAGACAGUUCGGUCCCUAUCUGCCGUGGGCGCUGGAGAACUGAGGGGGGCUGCUCCUAGUACGAGAGGACCGGAGUGGACGCAUCACUGGUGUUCGGGUUGUCAUGCCAAUGGCACUGCCCGGUAGCUAAAUGCGGAAGAGAUAAGUGCUGAAAGCAUCUAAGCACGAAACUUGCCCCGAGAUGAGUUCUCCCUGACUCCUUGAGAGUCCUGAAGGAACGUUGAAGACGACGACGUUGAUAGGCCGGGUGUGUAAGCGCAGCGAUGCGUUGAGCUAACCGGUACUAAUGAACCGUGAGGCUUAACCUUACAACGCCGAAG